GAACGAGAGAGAGGGAGCUUGCUUCCUCAAUCGAGUGGCGAACGGGUGAGUAACGCGUGAGGAACCUGCCUCAAAGAGGGGGACAACAGUUGGAAACGACUGCUAAUACCGCAUAAGCCCACAGGUCGGCAUCGACCAGAGGGAAAAGGAGCAAUCCGCUUUGAGAUGGCCUCGCGUCCGAUUAGCUAGUUGGUGAGGUAAUGGCCCACCAAGGCAACGAUCGGUAGCCGGACUGAGAGGUUGAACGGCCACAUUGGGACUGAGACACGGCCCAGACUCCUACGGGAGGCAGCAGUGGGGAAUAUUGCACAAUGGGGGAAACCCUGAUGCAGCGACGCCGCGUGGAGGAAGAAGGUCUUCGGAUUGUAAACUCCUGUUGUUGAGGAAGAUAAUGACGGUACUCAACAAGGAAGUGACGGCUAACUACGUGCCAGCAGCCGCGGUAAAACGUAGGUCACAAGCGUUGUCCGGAAUUACUGGGUGUAAAGGGAGCGCAGGCGGGAAGACAAGUUGGAAGUG
This 519-nucleotide ribosomal RNA is filed under the name uncultured bacterium. RNAcentral's name for it is "bacterial SSU rRNA". It matches the Rfam family "Bacterial small subunit ribosomal RNA", at positions 64 to 596 of the family's 1533-position model. The record is from RNAcentral.